CUACGUGCCAGCAGCCGCGGUAAUACGGAGGGUGCGAGCGUUAAUCGGAAUAACUGGGCGUAAAGGGCACGCAGGCGGUGACUUAAGUGAGGUGUGAAAGCCCCGGGCUUAACCUGGGAAUUGCAUUUCAUACUGGGUCGCUAGAGUACUUUAGGGAGGGGUAGAAUUCCACGUGUAGCGGUGAAAUGCGUAGAGAUGUGGAGGAAUACCGAAGGCGAAGGCAGCCCCUUGGGAAUGUACUGACGCUCAUGUGCGAAAGCGUGGGGAGCAAACAGGAUUAGAUACCCUGGUAGUCCACGCUGUAAACGAUGUCGAUUUGGGGGUUGAACUUUAGGUUUGGCGCCCGUAGCUAACGUGAUAAAUCGACCGCCUGGGGAGUACGGCCGCAAGGUUAAAACUCAAAUGAAUUGACGGGGGCCCGCACAAGCGGUGGAGCAUGUGGUUUAAUUCGAUGCAACGCGAAGAACCUUACCUACUCUUGACAUCCAGAGGACAUUC
This 498-nucleotide ribosomal RNA is filed under the name uncultured bacterium. RNAcentral describes it as "bacterial SSU rRNA". It matches the Rfam family "Bacterial small subunit ribosomal RNA", at positions 501 to 1000 of the family's 1533-position model. The record is from RNAcentral.